RNAcentral lists this ribosomal RNA (300 nucleotides) under uncultured Persicirhabdus sp. Its description in RNAcentral is "bacterial SSU rRNA". The stretch from base 52 to 300 matches the Rfam family "Bacterial small subunit ribosomal RNA", at positions 547 to 795 of the family's 1533-position model. The record is from RNAcentral. Lineage: Bacteria; Pseudomonadati; Verrucomicrobiota; Verrucomicrobiia; Verrucomicrobiales; Verrucomicrobiaceae.
GCGAUGGUCGGAGAAGGUGCCGGGGUGAGUAGAAGGGGUAAAGGGUUAAUCGGAAGGACAUGGCGUGAAGGGUGCGGAGAUGGGUGUUGAAGUCUGUCGGGAAAGCGCUGGGCUUAACCUGGGAACUGCGAGGGGAACUGGGCGACUAGAGUUUGGUAGAGGGUAGCGGAAUUCCUGGUUGAGCAGUGAAAUGCGUAGAUAUCAGGAGGAACAUCCAUGGCGAAGGCAGCUACCUGGGCCAACACUGACACUGAGGCACGAAAGCGUGGGGAGCAAACAGGAUUAGAUACCCCGGUAGUC